AAUAUUUGCUUUAUUUCCAGAUGGUCAGAAAUAUGCUAAUGAAAUAGGAGCUUUAUUUAUGGAAACUAGUGCAUUAACUUCUCAAAAUGUGAAAGAACUAUUUUAUACAAUGGUCAAUCGGAUGUCUGACAAAAUUCGAGAAACAAAUACUGAAGCUACUCCUUUGAUAAAACUAAAUCCAAAGC
Centruroides sculpturatus (bark scorpion) is the source of this 185-nucleotide long non-coding RNA. RefSeq lists it as uncharacterized. Lineage: Eukaryota; Metazoa; Arthropoda; Arachnida; Scorpiones; Buthidae. The transcript is spliced from 2 exons. The record is from RefSeq and is a predicted model, not a curated record.